This 280-nucleotide ribosomal RNA is filed under the name uncultured bacterium. RNAcentral describes it as "partial 16S ribosomal RNA". It matches the Rfam family "Bacterial small subunit ribosomal RNA", at positions 338 to 610 of the family's 1533-position model. The record is from RNAcentral.
CCUACGGGGGGCAGCAGUGGGGAAUAUUGCACAAUGGGGGAAACCCUGAUGCAGCCAUGCCGCGUGUGUGAAGAAGGCCUUCGGGUUGUAAAGCACUUUCAGCGAGGAGGAAAGGUUGAUGCCUAAUACGCAUCAGCUGUGACGUUACUCGCAGAAGAAGCACCGGCUAACUCCGUGCCAGCAGCCGCGGUAAUACGGAGGGUGCAAGCGUUAAUCGGAAUUACUGGGCGUAAAGCGCACGCAGGCGGUUGGAUAAGUUAGAUGUGAAAGCCCCGGGCUC